AUGGAUGACAAGAUCGGAAUCUAUAGCUACAAUGAUGCCAUGAAAAUUGUUCAUAUAUGGGUGUUACAGAACUAUGAAAGCAAGGUUUGGGACUACAAGUGCCGGCUCGAAAUGCUAGUUGAAAAAAUCAGGGACCGUUCGGGAAGGUGCAAGGAUUAUUGGGAUGCCAGCAUUGUGUCUGUGGAUGGUGACGUCUUCUUGCUGCUCAAUCUUGGCGGAUGGCUGUUGUAUGUUGACACCGAUGGCGAACUUGUUGACAGCUUCCAUCAUGAUGGCCAAUACUUAUAUCCUUGGAAAUGUCGGCUCAAACAAACUCUUGUUCCACAUACCUUCUUCGUGGCACUAGAAAGCUAUGUUGUGAAUGUUGUCCAGAUGAUGCCAACAAAGGACCCGGAACAGAUGAGGAAAAUUGCCUUAUGUCCAGGGCAACGUGACAAGAGGGUGUGGGCUUCAAGGUCGAUCAUGAGUGGAGAAGAUCACGACGACUCCUUCUCCUUGUCUUUGAAGACGACAGUACAGGAGUCAUGUCUGGGCCAGACUUUUCUUGAUCCCUUCGGAACCGCCUCCUGGCCCUUGGAAAAUGAUCGUUGA
This 591-nucleotide ribosomal RNA is filed under the name Triticum aestivum (bread wheat). RNAcentral describes it as "partial small subunit ribosomal RNA". Lineage: Eukaryota; Viridiplantae; Streptophyta; Magnoliopsida; Poales; Poaceae. The record is from RNAcentral.